This 254-nucleotide ribosomal RNA is filed under the name uncultured bacterium. RNAcentral's name for it is "partial 16S ribosomal RNA". It matches the Rfam family "Bacterial small subunit ribosomal RNA", at positions 524 to 776 of the family's 1533-position model. The record is from RNAcentral.
UACGUAGGGUGCGAGCGUUAAUCGGAAUUACUGGGCGUAAAGCGUGCGCAGGCGGUCUGUUAAGACCGAUGUGAAAUCCCCGGGCUUAACCUAGGAACUGCAUUGGUGACUGGCAGGCUUUGAGUGUGGCAGAGGGAGGUAGAAUUCCACGUGUAGCAGUGAAAUGCGUAGAGAUGUGGAGGAAUACCGAUGGCGAAGGCAGCCUCCUGGGCCAACACUGACGCUCAUGCACGAAAGCGUGGGGAGCAAACAGG